CGAGCUGCAAUGGUCAUCAGGUAACUCAAAGAGCUAGUGAUGCUGUAUUUAUCCUUUUGUGAAAUGAACAGGAGGUACGUAGCUGGGAGCUAGUGAUGCUGUAUUUAUCAUGCAUCCCAUUAUUGUAGCUAUUAAAAGAAGAAAUUGUGCUUUACCCCCCCACCCAAAAAAAAAGUGGGGAAAUCGAUGUUAAAUAUAUAUUAUUUUUGUCAUUCAAUCUCCGGCCACC
RNAcentral lists this long non-coding RNA (229 nucleotides) under Elaeis guineensis (African oil palm). RNAcentral's name for it is "long non-coding RNA (EGUI_LNC031219)". Lineage: Eukaryota; Viridiplantae; Streptophyta; Magnoliopsida; Arecales; Arecaceae. The record is from RNAcentral.